AUCAAAGUGAGCAAAGCACGAGGUAACGACCAUCUACAUCACAAGCAUGAGGUGAGGAGACAGUUCAGAUGUGUUUACAAGCAUGAGGUGAGGAGACAGUUCAGAUGUGUUUACAAGCAUGAGGUGAGGAGACAGUUCAGAUGUGUUUACAAGCAUGAGGUGAGGAGACAGUUCAGAUGUGUUUACAAGCAUGAGGUGAGGAGACAGUUCAGAUGUGUUUACAAGCAUGAGGUGAGGAGACAGUUCAGAUGUGUUUACAAGCAUGAGGUGAGGAGACAGUUCAGAUGUGUUUACAAGCAUGAGGUGAGGAGACAGUUCAGAUGUGUUUACAAGCAUGAGGUGAGGAGACAGUUCAGAUGUGUUUACAAGCAUGAGGUGAGGAGACAGUUCAGAUGUGUUUACAAGCAUGAGGUGAGGAGACAGUUCAGAUGUGUUUACAAGCAUGAGGUGAGGAGACAGUUCAGAUGUGUUUACAAGCAUGAGGUGAGGAGACAGUUCAGAUGUGUUUACAAGCAUGAGGUGAGGAGACAGUUCAGAUGUGUUUACAAGCAUGAGGUGAGGAGACAGUUCAGAUGUGUUUACAAGCAUGAGGUGAGGAGACAGUUCAGAUGUGUUUACAAGCAUGAGGUGAGGAGACAGUUCAGAUGUGUUUACAAGCAUGAGGUGAGGAGACAGUUCAGAUGUGUUUACAAGCAUGAGGUGAGGAGACAGUUCAGAUGUGUUUACAAGCAUGAGGUGAGGAGACAGUUCAGAUGUGUUUACAAGCAUGAGGUGAGGAGACAGUUCAGAUGUGUUUACAAGCAUGAGGUGAGGAGACAGUUCAGAUGUGUUUACAAGCAUGAGGUGAGGAGACAGUUCAGAUGUGUUUACAAGCAUGAGGUGAGGAGACAGUUCAGAUGUGUUUACAAGCAUGAGGUGAGGAGACAGUUCAGAUGUGUUUACAAGCAUGAGGUGAGGAGACAGUUCAGAUGUGUUUACAAGCAUGAGGUGAGGAGACAGUUCAGAUGUGUUUACAAGCAUGAGGUGAGGAGACAGUUCAGAUGUGUUUACAAGCAUGAGGUGAGGAGACAGUUCAGAUGUGUUUACAAGCAUGAGGUGAGGAGACAGUUCAGAUGUGUUUACAAGCAUGAGGUGAGGAGACAGUUCAGAUGUGUUUACAAGCAUGAGGUGAGGAGACAGUUCAGAUGUGUUUACAAGCAUGAGGUGAGGAGACAGUUCAGAUGUGUUUACAAGCAUGAGGUGAGGAGACAGUUCAGAUGUGUUUACAAGCAUGAGGUGAGGAGACAGUUCAGAUGUGUUUACAAGCUAAACAAUAUCAAUAACAGGUGAACAUAUAUAUUAAGUUGUUGAUGAGGAUUAAUGCCACUAAAAUGGAACUAAAUCAGGUCAGAUUAGAUUUAAUGAAAAGUAUUUU
RNAcentral lists this long non-coding RNA (1414 nucleotides) under Oncorhynchus kisutch (coho salmon). Its description in RNAcentral is "lncRNA (ENSOKIG00005031193.1)". The record is from RNAcentral. Lineage: Eukaryota; Metazoa; Chordata; Actinopteri; Salmoniformes; Salmonidae.